UGAUUCUUAAAGGUAAAUUUAAAAUGUUUUGAGGAAUAGUAUUAUUUUACAAGGAUAUAGUCUCUUAAGUAUUCAGAAACACUUUAGGGGGCGCCUGGGUGGCUCAGUCGGUUAAGCCUCCGACUUUGGCUCAGGUCAUGAUCUCAUGGCUCCUGAGUUCAAGCCCCACAUCUGUGCUGACAGCUCGGAGACUGGAGCCUGCUUUAGAUUCUGUCUCCCAAUCUUUCUGCCCCUCCCCCACUCAUGCUCUGACUCUCUCUCUCUCUCUCUCAAAAAUAAACAUUAAAAAAAAAAAGAAAAAAGAAAAACCUUAGGGAAAAAGGGGGUUUUAUCAAAAUAUACCAGAGUUUAAACAUUCUAUAUUGUCAUUAUUCAUCGAAACUACAUUGAAACUCAGUUUGGAGGUGAAAAAGACUUAGCUGACACAGAAAACAAUCUGUUACCAAGGUUUUCUUUUUUAAGUUUAUGGUUAAUACAUGGUGUUUUCAUUCAUAAAAUGGAAUUAGAUACUGUAUUUACAAUUCUUACUCAUCUGAUCAACAGAAGCCUUUCCAGGGCAGUUGUGCUCAAACCUUAGGGUACUUGUUAAAAAGCAGAUCAUCGGGACCCACCUGAACCACCUCAGAGAUUCUAACUCAUGAGGCAGGUAAGGACCUGGAACCUGCAUUCUUGGCAGUGGCCCCAUGACGGCUCUUAAGCACUUUGAGACACAUCUUGAAAACUGUUUCCCCAGGAAAAACGAAUGGGCAGGAAGUAUUGUGUGGUCAUCCCAUUUCCGUGUGGAAAUCCCUACCAAUUCCAGGCUGCUGACAGAAAUGCAUUUCGUAGGUGAUUCAACAGCUUGGCCUCCUACCUCUUCAUUCAAGUUUCAUAUCAGAGAGCAGACUGCAAAUUUACUACUUUUGAAUAUACUCCUGGAAAUUAUCACGAGCAGGAUACUUGCCCUUUGAUGGCAAAUACAGGCACGAAAGCCCAACAAUUCCAGCGUACAGUGGAAAGAAAACAUUGGGGAAGACCCGAAAGAGAAAGAAAGCGUUCUGUAUUGGGAAAGGCGCCGGCAGGCAGUACUCACAGAGCUCGGAGGUUGAGCAACUGCUGGAAAGUGUCAACUCUAAUUUCAAAGAUUUCAUUAUGUCGCAGGUCUCUGAAACGACAGAGUUCCAAAGAUUGAUUUCAAAGUCACUGGUUUCAAAGAUUAGUUUUCGGAGUACUUCUACAGAAGGAUUACCCGCCCUCAAUCAAAGGAACACAUGAAAUAUGAGUGUCAAGUGACUGAUUAAAAAUUUUUUGUUUUGUUUAAAGAAGAACAUUCCAAUUUAUACACUUAAGCGUUGCCGCUCUUUCAGAGCAACGAGUUCUUUCGGGUGGAUGUAAAACUAUAUUCCAAAUGCCAUCAUCAUUCAAUCACUUGGCGCCUGCUGGCUCUGCCUUGUGAGACAUUCUAGUAUUCUUUGGGGGUCUUCAAGAGAGUCAAAUCCUUACCUUUUAAAGACGGAUUUGUCUUUCUUUUUCUCUCUUAAUCACCCAAAGGCAUUCAGGGAAAAAUUAAGUGGGAAAAGACUGAUGGUUAAUAUUGUUUUUUUUUUAAAGUUUAUUUACUUAUUUUGAGAAAGACUGAGAGGGUGGGGGAGGGGCAGAGAGAGAGGGAAAGAAAGAAGAGAGAGAGAAUCCCAAGCAGGGCUGUCACUGUCAGCACAGAGCCCGACGGGGGCUCCGUCACACAAAAACCAUGAGAUCGUGACCUGAGUGGAAACCAUGAGCACCCAGGCACCCCAGAUGGUUAAUAUUGUUUUGAUCAAAACCGAAGUAUGUCUAUAAAGCAAUAAUGCUGGGGCACCCGGGUGGCUCAGUCGGUUAAGCAUCCAACUCUUGGUUUGGACUCAGGUCAUGAUCUCCCAGUCCUGAGAACAAGCUCCUCAUCGGGCUCUGGCUGACAGCGCAGAGCCUGCUCGAGACUUUCUCUCUCCCUCUCUCUGCCCCUCUCUGACUCUGCGUGCACUUUCUCCCUCUCUCGAAAAAAUAAAUAAAUAAACAUGAAAAAAAGCAAUAAGGCUGAUCCUUUGUAGAGGAGGCAAGAAGGUUAGCAUGUUUCAUGUGUAAGUAACAUCCAUGGCACCUCAAAUAUGACAGACAAAUAGGGCACCUCCUCUAAGGAUGACUAUGUGGAACCAACACCCCAACAAACCCAAGUCCUUCCUGUAUUUAAAAGUAACAUCACUCAUUGGAUAUAUAAGUUUAGAAAAAUUCCAAAGCUCAAAUAAACUCAGUUCUUAUAUCACCAAGUUUGGGGGAAGAAAGAAAAAAAGCAUAAUAAAUGCUUUACUUACAGUACAAUGCAUAGAAAAAUAAUAUUAUCUGUGUUUCCCAACUUAAUAGGCAUCCUACACAGUCACACCUUGUGUAUAUAAGAAGGGAAAAGCACCAAAUGCCUCCCCAGCGACCUGCAGGGCAAGCAAACCAAUGACCCCUGGAAAAGUGAGUUUUGGCUCUUGUUCUUUGCUAAGUGACUUAGAAACUCUUAUAGACGUACAUUUUCUGAAGCUUUUGGCAGACUGAAAAACUGGGUAAAUCUUCCAGCAGGUUGUAAGAUAGAUCUCUGAAAAACAGAAGGUACAAAAGGGAAAAUCUGUUAUAUAUUAAUCUUAAGGAAACAUGCUUUGCUCUCCUUUCCUCUCCAAGAUGAUAUAUCUCCCAAAGGCAGACUCUGAACGUUUCCCCAGCCCUGACAUGGAGCAGGUAGUCAGAGGCAUUAUUGGAUUAAGCACAGAUCCAAACGUUUACUGAAAUGUGGCUGUUGUACUUCUUUAAUUGAUUUAAAUAAUUUAUUUAACAAAUUUAUUUAUAUUUUGUUAGUGAUGAUCUACAAUGUUCUAGCUAUUAUCUUGCAGAAAUGAGUCCAAAUUAAAUUAAAUAAUUGUGUCUCUCUUUCUAGGAGCUGCUAUAUCUCUACAGCUAAGAGAAUCAUUGUUGGUUCUUUUCUAAUCAGCUAAAAAAAAAUCCAACAACAAGUCAAAACAUAGCACUAACUUUGAAAUCAAUCACUACAAGGGGGAAAAAAAAUCUAAGAAAGUCUUCAGCCAAAACUCAACAAAUUACAGAAUAACAAAAACAUCUGGACAUAUUUAUAGUAUAAUAUAACUAAUCUAAAACAAGACAUGGUAAUUUGCAGAAAGCUUAAAAAAAGAAAGCUGGUAGAUAAAGUAACAUAGAUAUUUAAAAAAAAUCUUGUCUCAUGUUUUAAAAGUUAUCGGCUAAUCAACUAACACACUUUCAUGCCUGAUUCUAAUUCUUAAAACCAGAUCGCCACCAUGGAACUGAAAAAUCCAUACUGUUUUCUAAGAGGCUUUUAAAUUAUCUUGUUCUUGUAAUUGAUCACUUUUUUCUACAUUUAGUGAAUAAAUGGAAUUCAUAUAGAAAUACAGUUCAGUUACCACACACAAAUAAUGCAAAUGAAGCUGUUUGCAAACACAAGUUUGUAGUUUAUACUAGAGGCUUGAAAGACCAAAGUAAACCAAACAAAAUAUGAAAAAACCCAAAACCAUACCCCAUACCUACGCACAAAUACACCUGGUUAAAAAUUCGGUGUAUAUUUUUAAAAAGUAGUAAAUGUGAUAAAAUGGACAUACAUAUCAUCAAAGCUGAUAAAUUUGGUUCGCUCAUCUCCACACACUGCAAGGAGACAAAUCCUUCCUGUGCACCUCUUAGUAGAGGAUACAUAAAACCUUCUCCCAUGUAAAGACCCAGUGUCACCUUCUACCUACCUUCUACCUAAUGAUUUUCAUGGCUAACAUUGAUGAAGCACUUCUUAAAUAUAGACACCAUGUUUACAGCUUUACCUAAAUUACUUCAUUUGACCUGUGGUCACCUUAUGAGGGAGACACUGAUUAUCACCAUACAAUGUGAAAUAAUUUGCCUAAGAUCACCAGCUACUUAGUGGGGAAAGCCACACACAACCAGGGAAUUCCCAUGGAGGUGAGGCAACUUGGGGGCAGUUUCUUCAUGUACAGGUACUCAGUGGAUGAUUCAGCCAAAGGGUGGAAGCUCGCAGACCUAUGUUUCCAGAACAUGAAGUAGACUGUAGUAGAGGUCGGGACCCUGAGUCCUAUUCUCAGCCUCAACUUGGAUUCUUCAACUUGGUCAAUAUGUUGGUCAAAGCAUUAUACCUUUUUUAGUUCUCUCCUUAAAUGAGAAGAUACUUGCUGAUCUUGCAGUGUUGUGAAGAACAAAUCAAAAUUACAGGUUGAAGUGCUUUGAAAAUGGCAAGCUUCUGUGGUUAAUGGAUUUGUAUUCUUUCAGACCUUUCAAGUUUCAGCUUGAGGAAAGAAUAGCUUGAAGAAAGAAUAAUGGUUUAAGGGAAAUGAGAAAGAAGUUGAUAAGAGCUAACACUGCCUGAGAGUUUAUGAUGUUCCAGUGCUGGUAUAAGUGUCUGACAUGUAGUAAUUCAUUUAAUCCUCAUGAUGAUCCUCUGAAGGAAAUGGCUAUGUCUCUAUUUUAUAGAUUGGGAAAUGGAACCCCAGAAGGGAUAAAUAACUUGCUCAAGAUCUCUUGCUGGUGUAUAGAGAGAUGGGAUUUGAACCAGAAAAACAGACCAGGGACUUUGCUCUUAGCCAAUUUAUGCAAUUCUAGACCUGGGUGGUUUACCAUUUGCUAUGUGACAUCGUGGAGACAGAUGCAGUUUAAAUGCUGGCUCCUUAAGUAUUAGCUAUAGCCUGUGAAAUGUUAGUCAUGUUAUUAAGCCAGUUUCCUUGAGAAAUGAGGGUAAUUAUGCCAUUUUGGGUGGGUAGGCAGAAUUCUAAAAUGGCCCCUAAGAUUUCCACUACCUGGUGUUCAUGCACUUUCUCCUGGUAUUCAUGCACUUUCACCAGCUAUUCAAUCAAACUGCCUGUAUUUGAAUUUGGACUCUGCUACUUUCUUGCUGUGUGACUUUGACAAAUGUGCUUAACUGUCCUAAUUGUCAGCUUCCUCAUCUGUAUCUACACCUCAGAGGGCGAUGUGGGAGAAGAGGAGGAGACUUACUCUAUGUUCCCUCCCUUUACACACAAAUGACUGACUCCAAGGCUGUCACGUGGUGUUACUACAACCUCCUAUCACUGAACAACUGAAGUCUGAAGUGGCUAGGGGGCUGGGGAGAGGGGAAGGCAGAAUCAUUAUGGCAGACAUUCCCAUUCUUCCCCUUACAUUUGUAGUGCUGCUUGUAGCUCUGCUACUGGGUGAAGCCUGUGGUGAAAUUAGAGGCAUUCAACUGACACAGAUGUCUCCUCUGUGAGAACACAGCCAUGACUGGAGACUAAGGGUCCAUUCAUUAAGUCCCCACAAUGCAUGAGAGGAUGGUAAUAGGGUUGGGAGUUGAGGGGAAGGGCUGAAAAUGGAAGGUCAAAACAAAGCUCUUCAAAUUCCUAUAAACUACUUGUCAGAAAGGGAAAGGCAGAGGAAAAAAACCCAACAACCCAAGUCAACAGAAAUAAUAUAUGCAAGCUGUUUAACCAUUAGUGGAAACACUAGAACAUGGCACCCACAACGAUACCGGAAGAAUGUUUGGUCACCUUUAUCAAGGAUGGAAAAAUCAAAAAGAACUAUGGCCACUUACAUUGUAAUAAGAGAAGGAUUGCCUACAAAUGCUUUCUCAGGACUGGAAGGUGCUUUGCAUUGCUAAGAUAUCAUGCCCAGCCCUGUGUGGAUAAGGGAGAAGUUCUAAUUUUACCAAGCAGCUCAUGGGAAUGGCUUGCUUAUGCCAUGAAAUUGACUUCAAAGUUCUGGAUAAGUUCAUCUUUGGCAUCUCCUUAUGAGGAUGGUUCCUCUCUUCUAAGAGGAGGCACAGGGUGAUUUAAGUAACCCUGGAAAGAGAGCGUGAGCACUCAUUGACCUGUAGAAGACCACUAACAACAGAUGGUCCCUCAGGAAAUCACCAGACCCAGACCUGGUUCGAAGCUAAACCGACCAUGUACGAAUGCUAAGCUCUGUAUUCAAAUAAAUAAUGGGCUCCAAGGCCACAGAAGAGAUGGUCUUUGGUAUCUCUUGGGUCAGAGCCAACAUUGUAGAUUCAGGCCCUGUGUGACUUACUGUAUUUGAAUAUUAAAAAUAUGGGAGUGAGAGGGGGCACAAAUGGAAGCAUGCCCUUUCUUCCAGAACACUCAGGACCCUCACUGCCUGUCACCUUACCCUCAUUAUACCUCUCUCACUCAGCUAGGGCAAUGAGGAGCAGCUCUUCCCCUGGGAAACGGCUGGAGCCUGGUGAGGUCAAUGAGAAUUCUUCUCACCGUGCCUCUGGGAAAGGCUCUUGGCGGUCAGCUGGCUGGACUCUAUUUUUAUUAUAGGUACCAAUUCAGAACUGAACUUUUGACCUAUUCUUUGGAAGCAGUGUAUACUGGUAAGCAUGGACUUCAGACUCAAACUAGGGAAGAAGCAAAUCCCAGCUAUGCUACUGACUAGAUAUGUCAUGUUCGUAAAAUAACUUAACCUGACUAGAGCAGAAAGUGGGACAGUGAUGGCUGCUCUCCUCAGAUGGCUGUUAAAUGAAACAAUGUCUGCCAACACGCAGUGCAAUAUUUGGUUAUAGAUAUGCCCAAGAAAUGGUAGCUGUUAUUAUUUUUUAGUUUUUUGAAUUGCUUUAGUGUGAACCUUUGUGGUUUGUUAAUGAGACGCCUGUUCAUCUCAGAUGAGAGAGUCCUGGCAUUUGCCUGGUUGGUGUCCUCUCAUUGGGGGCAGUGGGGUGGGGGAGCAGGCAGUGCAGGCUAGACUCAUGAAUAGUGAGCCUG
Molecule: long non-coding RNA, 6755 nt
Organism: Acinonyx jubatus (cheetah)
Lineage: Eukaryota; Metazoa; Chordata; Mammalia; Carnivora; Felidae
Exons: 3
Source: RefSeq, a predicted model, not a curated record